UUGAGUAACAUUAACAUCAAUCCAGGCAUGAAGAACAUUAUAGAGCUGUAAUAAUUCUGUCCUUUACUUUUCAUUUCGAAAAUUGAAUAAAAUGAUAUGCUGGAGUGGUCAUCAGAUCAUUGGCUUACUAUUUUGUUAUUGAGCUGUUCAUGAUGUAGUUCCAUUAAGAUGUUUAAUGCUCAAAAGGGAAGAAAGUCUCGUAAACCAGUUCAUUGGGAGGUGGUUAAGUGUCCUAGACAACCUAGAUCGGUGGAAUGUGGAUAUUAUGUUAUGAAGUACAUGAAAGAAAUUAUUGGAACUCCAAGCAGCUCAAUUUUAAAUAUGUUCGAGGGAAAAGAGACUUACACUCAAGAAGAGAUUGAUGUAGUUCGAAUAGAAUGGGCGGAGCAGGUUGAUGGAUAUAUUGAAGAUGAAGUAAAAUAGUCAGCAUGUAUUACUUGUUUUGGAUGGUAUGAAUUGAGUUAUAUAUGUAGCAGCUGCGACUAGCUUUGAAUUAUGUAGUUAGCUUCAAAUCACUAGUAGUAGUACAUUCUGGUAUUGGACUUCUUGUUU
Molecule: long non-coding RNA, 552 nt
Organism: Rosa chinensis
Lineage: Eukaryota; Viridiplantae; Streptophyta; Magnoliopsida; Rosales; Rosaceae
Exons: 4
Source: RefSeq, a predicted model, not a curated record